This 229-nucleotide ribosomal RNA is filed under the name uncultured bacterium. RNAcentral's name for it is "partial 16S ribosomal RNA". It matches the Rfam family "Bacterial small subunit ribosomal RNA", at positions 1272 to 1500 of the family's 1533-position model. The record is from RNAcentral.
CCCCUAAAAAGCCAUCCCAGUUCGGAUUGCAGGCUGCAACCCGCCUGUAUGAAGUUGGAAUCGCUAGUAAUCGCGGAUCAGCAUGCCGCGGUGAAUACGUUCCCGGGCCUUGUACACACCGCCCGUCACACCAUGAGAGUCGGGAACACCCGAAGUCCGUAGCCUAACCGCAAGGGGGGCGCGGCCGAAGGUGGGUUCGAUAAUUGGGGUGAAGUCGUAACAAGGUAGC